UAAGACAGGAAGUAGCCGUGACGAACAAUUAUGGCUGUGUACAACAUGGAAAAACUCGCAUGCAUAUUGCUGGCUUUCGGAAUAGUUCUUUUAUACUCAGGGUGUGUCACGUGCCAGGAGAUCGAUAUCGAAUGUUACAAAGGUGACUGUCCCGAGGGUUACACGGACUUUGACGUUUGUGGAGAAUGUGGUUGGAUAUAUACAUGUUGUGCCCCACCGCUCAGGGUAUUCCACUUCGGGCCGUUCUUCUGAGGAGGUACCGAAGGGAGUGAGGAGGGAAUCAGAAGGGUUAUCUGAGGCUGAGCCGGGAGGAGUGAGAGAGGGGUCCAUACUUCACGUCACACAUCACUGAACAUGUUACACGUCACUGACCAUCGUCAUCAACAUCAUCGUUGUCAGAUUGUCACGCGCGCGCGUACAUUAGUUGUCCAAUUCUAUGUUAACACGUCAAUAAAUGUCCAUGCUAAAGUAAGAAACCGUG
Long non-coding RNA from Mizuhopecten yessoensis (Yesso scallop), 481 nucleotides. RefSeq lists it as uncharacterized. The transcript is spliced from 3 exons. NCBI's taxonomy places the organism in Eukaryota, Metazoa, Mollusca, Bivalvia, Pectinida, Pectinidae. The record is from RefSeq and is a predicted model, not a curated record.